AACGCUGGCGGCGUGCUAACACAUGCAAGUCGAGCGGUAACAGGCGUAGCAAUACGUGCUGACGAGCGGCGAACGGGUGAGUAACGCUUCGGAAUCUGCCCAAUGGUGGGGAAUAACCAGCCGAAAGGUUGGCUAAUACCGCAUGAGCCCUACGGGGGAAAGCGGGGGAUCGUAAGACCUCGCGCCGAUGGAUGAGCCGAAGCCGGAUUAGCUAGUUGGUAGGGUAACGGCCUACCAAGGCGACGAUCCGUAGCUGGUCUGAGAGGACGACCAGCCACACUGGGACUGAGACACGGCCCAGACUCCUACGGGAGGCAGCAGUGGGGAAUAUUGGACAAUGGGGGAAACCCUGAUCCAGCGACGCCGCGUGUGUGAAGAAGGCCUGCGGGUUGUAAAGCACUUUUAGUGGGGAUGAAAAGCUCAGGGAUAACACCUCUGGGUCUUGACCUAACCCACAGAAAAAGCACCGGCUAACUCUGUGCCAGCAGCCGCGGUAAUACAGAGGGUGCGAGCGUUAAUCGGAAUUACUGGGCGUAAAGCGUACGUAGACGGUUGGAUAAGUCAGAUGUGAAAGCCCCGGGCUCAACCUGGGAAUGGCAUUUGAGACUGUUCGGCUANGGUGCGG
RNAcentral lists this ribosomal RNA (625 nucleotides) under uncultured bacterium. RNAcentral's name for it is "bacterial SSU rRNA". It matches the Rfam family "Bacterial small subunit ribosomal RNA", at positions 32 to 651 of the family's 1533-position model. The record is from RNAcentral.